UUUGGUGCAGUGAUUAUAAAAACAUUCCUCGUACUGACGGGAUCUCCCCUGUGAACGACUACUAUACACCCAUAGAAUCUGAGCACCA
RNAcentral lists this small nucleolar RNA (88 nucleotides) under Brachypodium distachyon (stiff brome). RNAcentral's name for it is "snoRNA snoR8a". It matches the Rfam family "Small nucleolar RNA snoR8a". The record is from Rfam by way of RNAcentral. Lineage: Eukaryota; Viridiplantae; Streptophyta; Magnoliopsida; Poales; Poaceae.